AGACGCUUCGUCCUUGCCAUUUGGAUUGAGACAAUGUUACAACUUCCUUAUCGAUAAGCCAUUUCGGAGGGCAAGUUCUGGUGCCAGCAGCCGCGGUAAUUUCCAGCUUCCAAUAGCGUAUAUUAACGUUGUUGCAGUUAAAAAGCUCGUAGUUGAAGUGUGGGUGAUCGCUGUUGUGAGACUUCGGUCUCUCGACAGUAAGUCACCCCCUUCCAGUAUCCAGUAGUGGGUAUUCAGUUACUUACUAUUGUGUGUUGGUCAUUUACUGUGAGAAAAUUAGAGUGUUCAAAGCAGGCGUUUGCUUGAAUAGAUUAGCAUGGAAUAAUAAUUGAAGGCUUUCGUGUUCGAUUUGAUUGGUUUGUUCAUGGAAGCAAGGUUAAAAGGAACAGUUGGGGGUAUUCAUAUUCACUAGUUAGAGGUGAAAUUCUCGGAUUUAUGGAAGAUGAACAAGUGCGAAAGCAUUUACCAAGGAUGUUUUCAUUAAUCAAGAACGAAAGCUAGGGGAUCGAAGAGGAUUAGAUACGCUCAAUUCAUCUUAUAAAAAAAAA
RNAcentral lists this ribosomal RNA (548 nucleotides) under Blastocystis sp. subtype 1. Its description in RNAcentral is "bacterial SSU rRNA". It matches the Rfam family "Eukaryotic small subunit ribosomal RNA", at positions 490 to 1039 of the family's 1831-position model. The record is from RNAcentral. Lineage: Eukaryota; Bigyra; Opalinata; Blastocystidae.